AACGAACGCUGGCGGCAUGCCAAACACAUGCAAGUCGAACGAGAUCUUCGGGUCUAGUGGCGCACGGGUGCGUAACGCGUGGGAAUCUGCCCUUUGGUUCGGAAUAACAGUUGGAAACGACUGCUAAUGCCGGAUGAUGACGAAAGUCCAAAGAUUUAUCGCCAGAGGAUGAGCCCGCGUAGGAUUAGCUAGUUGGUGUGGUAAAGGCGCACCAAGGCGACGAUCCUUAGCUGGUCUGAGAGGAUGAUCAGCCACACUGGGACUGAGACACGGCCCAGACUCCUACGGGAGGCAGCAGUGGGGAAUAUUGGACAAUGGGCGAAAGCCUGAUCCAGCAAUGCCGCGUGAGUGAUGAAGGCCUUAGGGUUGUAAAGCUCUUUUACCCGGGAUGAUAAUGACAGUACCGGGAGAGUAAGCUCCGGCUAACUCCGUGCCAGCCGCCGCAGUAA
Molecule: ribosomal RNA, 449 nt
Filed under: uncultured bacterium
Lineage: Bacteria
Description: partial 16S ribosomal RNA
Rfam family: Bacterial small subunit ribosomal RNA
Source: RNAcentral